CCUACGGGUGGCAGCAGUCGAGAAUCAUUCACAAUGGGGGAAACCCUGAUGGUGCGACGCCGCGUGGGGGAAUGAAUGUCUUCGGAUUGUAAACCCCUGUCAUGUGGGAGCAAAUUAAAAAGAUCGUACCACAAGAGGAAGAGACGGCUAACUCUGUGCCAGCAGCCGCGGUAAUACAGAGGUCUCAAGCGUUGUUCGGAAUCACUGGGCGUAAAGCGUGCGUAGGCUGUUUCGUAAGUCGUGUGUGAAAGGCGCGGGCUCAACCCGCGGACGGCACAUGAUACUGCGAGACUAGAGUAAGGGAGGGGGAACCGGAAGUCUCGGUGUAGCAGUGAAAUGCGUAGAUAUCGAGAGGAACACUCGUGGCGAAGGCGGGUUCCUGGACAUUAACUGACGCUGAGGCACGAAGGCCAGGGGAGCGAAAGGGAUUAGAUACCCCAGUAGUC
Molecule: ribosomal RNA, 446 nt
Filed under: uncultured bacterium
Lineage: Bacteria
Description: partial 16S ribosomal RNA
Rfam family: Bacterial small subunit ribosomal RNA
Source: RNAcentral